UCAGGCCUAACACAUGCAAGUCGAACGAGAUUAUAGGGUAAGCUUGCUUACCUUAUAUGACAGUGGCGCACGGGUGCGUAACGCGUAUGCAAUCUACCUUAAUCAGGGGGAUAGCCUCUCGAAAGAGAGAUUAAUACCGCAUAACAUUAUGAUAUGGCAUCAUAUUAUAAUCAAACAUUUAUGGGAUUAAGAUGAGCAUGCGUGACAUUAGCUAGUUGGUGAGGUAACGGCUCACCAAGGCAACGAUGUCUAGGGGAUCUGAGAGGAUGACCCCCCACACUGGUACUGAGACACGGACCAGACUCCUACGGGAGGCAGCAGUAAGGAAUAUUGGUCAAUGGACGCAAGUCUGAACCAGCCAUGCCGCGUGCAGGAAGACGGCCCUAUGGGUUGUAAACUGCUUUUAUACGGGAAUAAACCUUCUUUCGUGAAAGAAGCUGA
RNAcentral lists this ribosomal RNA (441 nucleotides) under uncultured bacterium. RNAcentral's name for it is "bacterial SSU rRNA". It matches the Rfam family "Bacterial small subunit ribosomal RNA", at positions 42 to 472 of the family's 1533-position model. The record is from RNAcentral.